AAAUGCGACUUCUGGGCUUACAG
This 23-nucleotide microRNA is filed under the name Caenorhabditis elegans. RNAcentral's name for it is "cel-miR-4807". Lineage: Eukaryota; Metazoa; Nematoda; Chromadorea; Rhabditida; Rhabditidae. The record is from miRBase by way of RNAcentral.